UUAUAUCAAUAUUAUUACAAAGAGCUCGACCUAUUUCUGACGAUUCGUAAUUUGUUAACUUAUAACCUAAAAUAACCUUUUUUUUUUUGCUUAAUAAUUUAUAAUUUUAUAUAUUAAUAUAAUGAUAUUUUAAAAUUAAUAAUAAAUAUUUCGAACAGGGAUCGAGACAUACUCUUAUUCAAGGUUUUUUUUUUAUCAUUUUCGCCUAUUUAAAUUAUUUAUCGCCUGUAUUAAUAAUGUAUUAUAGAGUAAAAUUAAUUAAAUCAUAAAAGUGAACGUACUUCAUUAGUUUAAUCGGAAUGAUUAAUUUCAUUUUCGUGUCUAAGCUGAAAAACUGAUGUGAAAAACUAUUUUUAUGAUUAUGAUUAGCGAUUGUUUAACCUAUUGAACAGUGUCACUACGAUAGCGGAUCGUUAAGUGACCUUAAACCGCUUUGGUAUUAUUUUGAUGUAUGUACAUCAAAAUAUCAUUCACGUCGAUGGUUCGCGUUUUGAAUAAGUUAAAAACUUAAAACAAAUUUCAAAAAAAAAAAACACUUAGAUUUAACUUAGCCUAAACUUAGCCACUAUAAGAAUUGCCGACGCGAAUCGGACGCGUUUUAUUGAGUUUUGAAUUUAUUUAAUUUGUAAGAAAACUUAACUUAUCGCCGGAUUUAUUAUUUAAAUUAAUUAUUUUCAAGGCUUACAAAUUAUGUUUUGAUAAAGGGUUAACUGUUUAUAGUCACGUCUUUACCAACAACUAAAUUUAUCUAAUUUAUGGAUUUCAUGUAAAAGAUAACAUUUAUAUAUAAAAAAAAAAAAAACCUAAUUUAGUUAAACUAUCCUAAAUUUAGCUUAUAACCUAAUCUUACAGCCUCCAAAACGGCCCGACGACACGAUUUGGAACACGUUUAACCGUGUAUCUUAAUUAUUAAAUUUCCUAUGGAUAACAUCGUGAAAUAUAAACAAAAACAUUUUUUUUUUUUUUAAUUUUUAAUUUUUAAUUUUUUUUAAUUUUCUUUUUUAUUCAUAUACUAUAUCGAUAGUAAAGCAUCUUAAUAGUUACUCUCAUGAUACACGAGAUACUUAUAAAUUUAAAAAACAAAACUAUAACAAAAAAAUUAUGAUAACGAGGGAUUAUUCAAUCUCCUCGUCAUCUCUUAAAUAAUAAUAUUUGCUCUAAACACAUGAACCUGGUCCCACUGAAAAGAGACUGCGGAGAAAACCGUGACGCAUUUCGUGGGAGCUGACAGGUAUAUAGAAGAUAAUUAUAUACAAAGACUUAACCUAUAAAUAAUUAUGAUUUUAUAACGAAUGGUCGUCUUAACGAUGUCACAUCGUGAUCAAAACUCAUAAUUAUUUAAUCGAUGAAGGGUAAGGACAAUAAUGCCAAUACAUUUAAAUAGAAAAAUUUAGUAAAAAAAAAUAGAGAAAUAAAUAAAAAUCAGAAUUAGCCUAGACUUAGCCUAAACCGCAAGUGUCUUACUUAAUAAGACUUAGCCGGUCAAAGUAAAUUAAAAGACUCUUUAUGAAAGAAUUAAUAAACUGCGUUGUUAUCACGAAAAACCGUUUGAAAAAAACUGCUACGUAAUCAAAAAAUAUGUUAAACUAUUUUAUAAAAAUAACAAAUUUAUAAUAUAAGGCGUUUUAGACGAUUCCUUAUUAAUUAACUAACGUAAUUCAUCAGUUGAUUAAGACUGCGUUUUAUUCGCCAGUACAUGAUCAAUACUAUGUAAAUCACGUUUUACCUAUAUUAUUAAUAUCCCACUGAACGAGACGACGGUGCGAACCGUGUAACUUUAUAGGGGUGAAGAAAUUUAUACACAAAGACUUAACCUAUAAAUAAUUAUGUUAAGAUGUCACAUCGUGAUCAAAAAUCAUAAUUAUUUUAUCGAUGAAGGGUAAGGGCAAUAAUGCCAAUACAUUUAAAUAGAAAAAAUUAAGAAUAAAAAAAAAAAAAAAACUUACAUCCACGAAACGAUAGGAAGACGGAGCGAACCAGUUUGCGAUUUCGUGGAUAUCUAAUAUUUAUCCAUGGAUGUCUUUUUACGUGUUCAACCGUCAUUUUCUUAUUUUUAAUACUUAACCGCUAGGAAUUAAUAAUUACAUAAUCCAUGAGAUUAUUUUUUUUUUUUUUUAGUCAUAAAUAGCCAAAAAAAAAAAACUUAUCCUAUACAUCACUAUUAUAACAAAGAGCGCAAUUAUUUAACCGAUGAAGGGUAAUGACAAUAAUGCCAAUACAUUUGGAUAGAAAAAUUAAAAAAAAAAAAAAAAAACCUUAAUUAUACUAAGUAUACUUAGCCUAUCCGUUGAUCAAGACGGCGUAUAAUUCGCGCGUAAUGAUCAACAAUUGCAUAAGUUCCAUUUAGUGGUCCAGUGAGAGGAUGUGGCAUAUCAUAUUAUAAUUAAACCUAUAUCGUUAACCUAAGGAGUAUUACGGUAAACGGGGAAUCCCACUGCGUCCGACGGAUUAUUCAAGAGCUGUAAAUGUUCUAUUUGUUCAAAAAAAAAAAAAAUGAUUACUUAUCAAACCCAUGGUUCCUAAGAGAGAGCCAUCUAUUCCGAGAGAAAUUUAAUUCUUAUAAUCAGCCCCUGAUCUGCGAGGGAAAUAUACGGAAAAAAAAUCAAAAAAGAAUUUUAUUUAUAAGCUAUUAUAUAUAAGCUAUUUUAUAUAAGCUAUUAUGAAUUUCCCAAAAAAAAGCGAAUUAGGAAAUAAAAAUGAAAAUCGAAACAAAUUGAAUAUUAACAGCUCAAGAAAAAUCCAUCGACUGCGGUAGAACAUCCUGUAUUCACGCAACACAAAAUAAUUAACCUAACUUAUCUGGAUUGUCAGUGCAUGAUAUAGAUUAUUAUAUACAUGACACCAUUGAUCAAUACCAAUCUAUUGUUAAUCAUUGACAUUACACUGAUUGGGUGAAUUCAGUGGUACCUAUAGUAACUGUUGCUACCAUCCCACAGAACGAGACGACUGAGCGAACCGCGACGCAUUCCGUGGGACUUGAUAGGCGAUGAAGAAAAUUAUAUACAAAGAAUUAACCUAUAAAUAAUUAUGUUAAGAUGUCACAUCGUGAUCAAAAAUCAUAAUUAUUUAAUCGAUGAAGGGUAAGGACAAUAAUGCCAAUACAUUUGAAUAGAUAAAUUUAGAAAAAAAAAACCAACCUUAAUUACACUAAGCUUACCGAUGAUCGAUACUCGGUAUAAUUCGCGGGUAAUGAUCGACAAUUGCAAAAGUGCCAUUUUUACCUAUAGUAAAUGAACUUAAAUCUUGUUAAGAUUGUUUGUCGCUAGAGAAUGAAAGGAUCAACGCAACAAUAACUAGUGAAUACGCUGACCACAAUAUAAGAAGUAUGAUGACAACAUUAAAAAUUCAACAAAAAAAAAAAAAAAACGUAGAAAAUAUGCCUGUUUUUUACUUAACCUAAGAACAUUAUCAAUAAUACCCCAAAUUAUUUCCCAGUACAUAGUAUUGAUAAAAGAAAUAUUAAAAAUAAAAAUAAAAAAAAAACUACAACUAAAAGUAACAAACUAAUUAAGCAUAAAAAAAAAUAAACUAACUUUAAACCAUUCAACCGCAAACCGGUGACGAUGUUACGAUCGACGAAACGUGUACGAUGCGUGGUCGUUGUCAGUUUUAUAAUCGGCCGUGGCUUUAUCCGUG
Molecule: non-coding RNA, 3636 nt
Organism: Cinara cedri
Lineage: Eukaryota; Metazoa; Arthropoda; Insecta; Hemiptera; Aphididae
Source: the annotation of a GenBank genome assembly